GCCGACGUGGCGGAAUUGGUAGACGCGCUAGCUUGAGGGGUUAGUGGGGCAACCCGUGUCGGUUCGAGUCCGACCGUCGGCACCA
This 85-nucleotide transfer RNA is filed under the name Gammaproteobacteria bacterium. RNAcentral describes it as "tRNA-Leu". It matches the Rfam family "tRNA". Rfam says of the family: Transfer RNA (tRNA) molecules are approximately 80 nucleotides in length. Their secondary structure includes four short double-helical elements and three loops (D, anti-codon, and T loops). Further hydrogen bonds mediate the characteristic L-shaped molecular structure. tRNAs have two regions of fundamental functional importance: the anti-codon, which is responsible for specific mRNA codon recognition, and the 3' end, to which the tRNAs corresponding amino acid is attached (by aminoacyl-tRNA synthetases). tRNAs cope with the degeneracy of the genetic code in two manners: having more than one tRNA (with a specific anti-codon) for a particular amino acid; and 'wobble' base-pairing, i.e. permitting non-standard base-pairing at the 3rd anti-codon position. The record is from RNAcentral. Lineage: Bacteria; Pseudomonadati; Pseudomonadota; Gammaproteobacteria.